UCAGGACGAACGCUGGCGGCGUGCUNACACAUGCAAGUCAAGGAGAAAGUCUGACUUCGGUUGGAUGAGUAAACUGGCGGAUGGGUGAGUAACACGUAGGCAACCUGCCUUCAGGUUUGGGAUAACAUUGCUAACGCGGUGCUAAUACCGAAUGAAGCGAUAUUAUUGCAUGAUAGUGUCGUUAAAGUUGGCCACUGAUUCAAGCUAACGCCUGGGGAUGGGCCUGCGUCCCAUUAGCUAGUUGGUGAGGUAAAGGCUCACCAAGGUAACGAUGGGUAGCCGGCCUGAGAGGGUGACCGGCCACACUGGGACUGAGAUACGGCCCAGACUCCUACGGGAGGCAGCAGUGAGGAAUAUUGCGCAAUGGACGAAAGUCUGACGCAGCAACGCCGCGUGAGGGAUGAAGCUUUUAGGAGUGUAAACCUUUGUUAGGAGGGAAGAAAGAUCAUUGCUCGAACAGGGUAAUGGUUUGACGGUACCUCCAGAGGAAGCCCCGGCUAACUCCGUGCCAGCAGCCGCGGUAAUACGGGGGGGGCUAGCGUUGUCCGGAAUUAUUGGGCGUAAAGGGCGCGUAGGCGGGAUGCUAAGUCUGAGGUGAAAGUUUGCGGCUUAACCGUAGAAUUGCCUUGGAUACUGGCAUUCUUGAGUUCGGGAGAGGGAAGUGGAAUUCCUGGUGUAGCGGUGAAAUGCGUAGAUAUCAGGAAGAACAUCGGUGGCGAAGGCGGCUUCCUGGACCGAUACUGACGCUGAUGCGCGAAAGCGUGGGGAGCAAACAGGAUUAGAUACCCUGGUAGUCCACGCUGUAAACGAUGGGUACUAGGUGUCGGGAUUUAUCUCGGGGCCGGAGCAAACGCAUUAAGUACCCCGGCUGGGGAGUACGAUCGCCAGAUUGAAACUC
This 898-nucleotide ribosomal RNA is filed under the name uncultured organism. RNAcentral describes it as "bacterial SSU rRNA". It matches the Rfam family "Bacterial small subunit ribosomal RNA", at positions 24 to 902 of the family's 1533-position model. The record is from RNAcentral.